This 638-nucleotide ribosomal RNA is filed under the name uncultured bacterium. RNAcentral's name for it is "bacterial SSU rRNA". It matches the Rfam family "Bacterial small subunit ribosomal RNA", at positions 97 to 751 of the family's 1533-position model. The record is from RNAcentral.
GGCGAACGGGUGAGUAACGCGUGAGGAACCUGCCUCAAAGAGGGGGACAACAGUUGGAAACGACUGCUAAUACCGCAUAAGCCCACAGCUCGGCAUCGAGCAGAGGGAAAAGGAGUGAUCCGCUUUGAGAUGGCCUCGCGUCCGAUUAGCUAGUUGGUGAGGUAAUGGCCCACCAAGGCGACGAUCGGUAGCCGGACUGAGAGGUUGAACGGCCACAUUGGGACUGAGACACGGCCCAGACUCCUACGGGAGGCAGCAGUGGGGAAUAUUGCACAAUGGGGGAAACCCUGAUGCAGCGACGCCGCGUGGAGGAAGAAGGUCUUCGGAUUGUAAACUCCUGUUGUUGAGGAAGAUAAUGACGGUACUCAACAAGGAAGUGACGGCUAACUACGUACCAGCAGCCGCGGUAAAACGUAGGUCACAAGCGUUGUCCGGAAUUACUGGGUGUAAAGGGAGCGCAGGCGGGAGAACAAGUUGGAAGUGAAAUCCAUGGGCUCAACCCAUGAACUGCUUUCAAAACUGUUUUUCUUGAGUAGUGCAGAGGUAGGCGGAAUUCCCGGUGUAGCGGUGGAAUGCGUAGAUAUCGGGAGGAACACCAGUGGCGAAGGCGGCCUACUGGGCACCAACUGACGCUGAGG